Eurytemora carolleeae is the source of this 6197-nucleotide RNA transcript. It is a transcript of the gene named MATH and LRR domain-containing protein PFE0570w, with no coding region annotated. Lineage: Eukaryota; Metazoa; Arthropoda; Copepoda; Calanoida; Temoridae. The record is from RefSeq and is a predicted model, not a curated record. The transcript is spliced from 66 exons.
CAGUCAUCUUGGGAGACGAAAAAUCUGAAUUCAGAUUAGUUUAGUUUUUGGAUUACUCCUAGAAUCCCGAAAAGAUCAGACAGCUGCUUUUCCAAAAUAUGGUUCCGUUUUUACGUCCUACUUUAUGGAUGAUGUUUUAUGGAGACGGAGGCCAUUUUGAUUAAAACCUGAUAAUAAUACCUGGGUCUUCAUCAAUUAAGAAGAGAUCAGAAUGAAAGAAAAACUGUUGCUUUUAAUUUUGGUGGUAUUUUAUAUUCUUGUGUCCGAAGCUACUGAAAAGUGUCAGAAACUCAGCCUGGAAAAGCCAUUCAAUCCUGAACUGCAAUGGAUAUGCUCAAAUUUAACAAGUUUUGGGGAAAGCUGCAGACUAGGAUGCAAAGGAGAGCUAACCACUGAGAUAAAACUUAAAACUGUUUGUACUUCUUUAGGCUGGAUACCUAAGCUUCCAAAACUUACCAAUAUUUCCUGUGUCGAAGAAAUAUGUCCAGAUUUGACAAAGAAAAAGGUUUCUCAUGGAAAAUGGGAUUGCACUCUCCCACAGGAUUGUGUUGAAGAUAAAACAGGAAGCAUUUGCAAGCUAGACUGUGAAACCGGGUUUAGUCCUAGCACUGAUGUACCUAGUGUUUGUACACAACAAGGAUGGAUUCCUCAUUCUUCAAAUAUUCAUUGUAAAAAGUGUCCUGUUCAAUCAAACCCCAAGUAUGGAUCCUGGAAGUGUGGGCUCAAAGGGGAAUCUGAAGUUUGCUCACUUCAGUGCAAUAAGGGUUACAGGUCUAGAAGCCCUGCUAAUUUAAUUGUUUGCAAUGGAACCAAAUAUGAUGUUGACCCAGAGACAUUUUCUUGUGAACUGACAAGUCAGUUUUUUAAAGAACCCAGAUUCUUAAGCAAGAUGAUUACUGAAAAUGUUGAUGCUCCUUGUUUGGAACUAGAACAUCCAGAUAAUGGAAAAUGGGAGUAUAUUUCUGAAUCAGAGAGGUUGCUGUCUUGCAACCCUGGAUAUGCUAUUGCAAAACCUGUAAUUGCAAGGUGUUUUGCUGGUCAUUGGUGUUCUGAACAGCUGGGUGUUGGUUGUCAGCCUGAACCAGAAGAAGAUCAUGAAAUAAAAGAAGCAAACAGAGUUUCGGAAAACUCUACACUGGAGAAACCAUGUGAUGAUGAUAUAAAGUCUAAUAGAACAUAUGACAAUAAUGAUGUUGAUGAAGAUGACUCAGCACCAAACAAAGAUUUGCCAAAUAGAAAAGAAGAAGAACCUGACUCAACACCAAACAAAGAUUCGCCAAAUAGACUAGAAGGGGAAGACACCCCAGCACCAAAUAAAAAUUGGCCAAAUAGACCAGAAGGGGUAAACGCCUCAGCUCCAAAUAAAAAUUGGCCAAAUAGACCAGAAGGGGUAAACGCCUCAGCUCCAAAUAAAAAUUGGAAAAAUAGACCCAAAGGAGAAGACACCUCAGAACCAAACAAAGACUUGAAAAAUAGACUCAAAGGAGAAGACACCUUCAAACCAAACAAAGAUUCGCUUAAUAGACCAGAAGGGGAAAACACCUCAGAACCAAUUAAAGAUUUGCCAAAUAGCAUACAUGACAAUAAUGAUGUCCAAGGUGACACUUUUACUGCAAUGACGUUUCAAAGAGAUUCGAAUGUGACUGAACCAAUGGCAGAACAAACUACAACAAAUGAAAAUGAUUAUUUUAAUGCUUAUAAAGAAGCAGAACAGAACAAGACAAAUUCAGAUUUCAAAAAUAAAACAAAUGUUAUGGAGUCUUCAAUAAGUUCAGAUAUUAAAGUUAAGGAUGAGAAACCACCAAGUUUAGAUAAUUCUGAAACACCUAAAAUUGAAAAUACUUCGGAUAUAAUUCUUGAUAAAGAAGGACUUAUAGGUGACUUUAAACCAUCUGGAUUAAAGGAGAACACACAGGAAAUUCCUGAAAAUGAAUCGGCUCAAAAUAAAUCAUUGAAAAUAAAAUAUUUUAUACCUAAGAUACAUUCAUUACCAGAAACCCUGAAUCAAAAUGACAUCUUGAUAGAUAUCCCUGGGAAAAAUACUACAUUUGAAUCCCAAAGAGACAAUGAAUCACCAGGAAAUGAUGGAACUGUUGAAGCAGGAGAAAUAAGUGACAACUCAUCUGUAGAACUAGAGUUUCCAAUUGAUUCUGAAAAUCAAAUAGAUAAAAAAGAGAAUAAUGGAAAGAAAUCUAUGGAAUUUGACAUAUUAGACCAAACCACAAGUGGAUCUACCAUUAAGGAAGAAGAAAGUAUUUUGAAUGAUCAAGAAGAAAUCAAAAAUAAAUCCCUGGAAUUUGAUAUUUUGAAGGAAACUACAACCGUUUCCAGUAUCGUAAGAGAGUUAGAUAAGUUAAUUGAUGAGGAAGAAAAUCAAAAUAAAUCGAUGCAAUAUGGAUUUUAUGAUGAUGAUCAGAAUGAUACUAAUUUUAAAAUAGAGAAAGACAUAUUACCUGAUGGGGAAGAAAAUCAAAAUAAAUCAAUGGAAUUUGAAAUUCCUAACAAAACCACAAAUGAUUUUAGCAAUGAUAAUGAGGCGGAAUUAUCAAGUCCUGGGGAUGAAUAUCAAAAUAAAUCACUGGAGUUUGGAUUCUCUGAUGAAACUACAAGUGCUUCUAGUAUCGAGAAAGAUCAAAAUCAAAAUAAAUCAAUGGAAUUGGAAAGUCCUAACAAAACCACAAAUGAAUUUAGCAAUGAUAAUGAGGUGGAACUAUCAAAUGCUGAUAAAGAAUAUCAAAAUAAAUCUAUGGAAUUGGGAUUUUCUGAUGAAACAACAAGUGCAUCUAGUAUUAAUAAUGAACUGUUAAUCGAUGGGGAAGAAAAUCAAAAUAAAUCAGUGGAAUUUGAAAUUCCUCAAAAAACCACAAAUGAUGCUAGCAAGGAAAAUGAGUUGGAACUAUCAAAUGUUGGAAAUGAAUAUCAAAAUAAAUCAAUGGAAUAUGGAUUUUCUGACGAAACAACAAAUGCAUCUAGUAUCAAUACUGAGAAAGAAUUGUUAAUUGAUGGUAAAGAAAAUCAAAAUAAAUCCCUUGAAUUUGGGUUUUAUGGCACUACAAACAAUUCUAGUAGAAGAAAAGCAAAAGAUAUUUUGAUAGCUGGGAAAGAAAACAAAAAUAAAUCAAUGGAAUUUGAGAUUUCUGAUGUAACUACAAAACGUCCAGUAAUUGAAAACACAAAAGAUAUUUUGAUAGCUGGGGAAGAAAACAAAAAUAAAUCAAUGGAAUUUGAGAUUUCUGAUGUAACUACAAAACAUUCAGCAACUGAAAACACAAAAAAUAUUUUGAUAGCUGGGGAAGAAAACAAAAAUAAAUCAUUGGAAUUUGAGAUUUCUGAUGUAACUACAAAACAUUCAACAAUUGAAAGCACAAAACAUAUUUUGAUAGCUGGGGAAGAAAACAAAAACAAAUCAAUGGAAUUUGAGAUUUCUGAUGUAACUACAAAACGUUCAACAGUUGAAAACAGAAAAGAUAUUUUAAUAGCUGGAGGAGAAAAUAAAAAAAAAUCAAUGGAAUUUGAAGUUUCUGAUGAAACUUCAAAUGAUUCUUAUAAUGCAACAGGGAAUGAUGUAUUAUUAGAAAAAGACAAUAAUAAAAACAACUCCAUGGAUUUUGAGUUCUCAGACAACUCAAAAAAUAAUUCAAAAACUUCUUAUAAUUCGGAAAGUGUAGAGUUUUCCGGUAAAAAAGAAACAAAAGAAAACAUUUCAAUGGAAGUAGAGUUUCCUGGAGAGAAUCAGAGAAAUUAUGCAACUACCAAUGAGACAUCUAACAAUAUUUUAACUGCAGAUGAAGAAAUAUUGCUGGCUAAAGAGAAGGCUAAGAAUACUACUAUGGAACUAGAGUUCCCAGCAGACUCUGAAAAUGCCUCAGAAAAUCAGAAUAUUAGCAGAAAUUCAACUUAUCAAAGUAAUAAAGAUGUUUCAAUAUUAACAAGUGAUUUGAUCAUUGACCCUAACAGUGUGUCUGGGAGCUUUGAGACAACAUUGGACUCAAAUGAUAGUUAUUCAGCAAACUGCAGUAGUCCACAUCACCCCAAAUCUUCCCUUCAGUUCUCUUGCUUCCCAGACCUUCCUCCACACUUGUCCUGCAGAAUUAUUUGUCCUCAAAAUUUUCAACCAUACGUGAAUAUGAUCAACUGUCUCUCAAAUGGUACAUGGGAUGUGGAAUCAGAACUGAAAUGUUUAAAGUGUGACAAGAACGCAGUUAAACAUAAGCAUAAAUGCUUCUGCAAGAUUGGAUAUAGUGGAGACGGUUUAUUGUGUGGCGUAGACUCUGAUCUUGAUAAUAUUCCUGAUGAGGAUAUACCAGGAUGCCAGGGUCCAUUUUGCUCCAAGGAUAAUUGCAAAGACAUUGACAAUCCUGAUCAAUUAGAUACUGAUGGAGAUGGGGAGGGAAAUGCAUGUGAUGACGACCUGGACGAUGACGGAGUCCUAGACAAAAAUGAGUUUCAAGCUAAUAUAAGAUGUACAGAGGAAGAGAUGGAAAAAAUAACCCGAGAAAUAGAGGCUUAUGGUGAGGAAAAACAUAAUGGUUCUGCAGUUACUAAACAGGGGGAAAAACAGCUAAGAAAAAGGGAGCUUUUGUGCCAAACAAACUUAGAAAGUCCUGACAAUUGUCCACUGACAAAGAAUCCUGGUCAAGAGGAUAGAGAUGGUGACCUAGCUGGAGAUGCUUGUGAUAACUGUCCUCGUCUCUUCAACUGGAAGCAAAAAGACACUGAUGGUGAUGGAAUCGGAGAUUUAUGUGACGAUGAUAUGGACGGAGAUGAAGUUAAUAAUGAAAAAGAUAACUGCAUCUUAGAUAGCAACCCGGACCAGAAAGAUUCAGACGAAGAUGGGUUCGGAGACCAAUGUGACAAUUGUAAAGAUUUCAAAAAUCCUGAUCAGAAAGACGGGGAUAGAAAUGGAGUAGGGGAUGCAUGUGAAGCUGGCGAAGAUAUGGAUGGGGAUGGUUUCUACACGUCAGACAACUGUAAAAUUGUUUCCAACAUAAAUCAAUGGGAUACAGACAAGGACGGUGAGGGGGAUGCCUGUGAUCCAGAUAUAGAUAAUGAUGGAAUUCCAAAUGAAAAGGAUAACUGUCUUUUUAUACCUAAUCCAGACCAGGAACCUUCUAAACGGAAUAAGCUAGUUGGAAAAGCAUGUGAAAAAGAUAGGGAUGGAGACGGGGUCCUAGAUUCUGCUGAUGUUUGUCCAAAUAAUCCAGCAAUAUCAGAUCAACAUUUUGAUAAAACGAACUUGGAGCUGAUCAAUUAUUGCGAGUUUGCUGAACAGGAAGGUCUUAAAAACCUAACUAUUUGCGAGAAACCCAAUCCCAACUGGGAAGAUAGAAGAAAUGGAACUCAAUUAUUUCAGGCUGUGAACAGUAGGGCUGCCAUUGUUCUAAACAGAAGAAACUUGUUUGAAAAUGUUCAGUACAACGGAACUUUUUAUGUAAAUGAUGAAACAGAUAAUGAUUGGCUUGGCAUUGUGUUUGGAUUUAAAAAUGUGUUCAACUUUUAUAUAAUUAUUGCCAACAAACAUCCAUUAGGAAUUCGGACAUAAAGGGUUCCGGUGCAAUGUGGUGGUCUGUGAAGAAAAUUAAUAUGAGAAAUGUAUCUGACCAUGGUCAAGCUUAUAAAAAGAUUCUGGGUGCAAUGAUCUCACAGGAUUCUAAAGAUGAUUAUGCUGUUAAUCUGUGGGAGGAUGCGAAGAAACAUCAAUGGAGAGAGAAAACUCCAAUUCAGUGGAGUAUAAACUAUAUUCCAACACAGGGUAAAAUUCAACUGAAGAUGGUGAGAGAUGGUGAAACUAUUAUUGAAUCCGGUGAUAUUUUAGAUCCUGAUCCUAUUCCAGGAGGAAAGAUUGGAAUGUACGUGAACAGUCAGAAGAAUGUCCUUUUCUCAGAAUUAUCCUUUAAAUGUCUGGAACCUGAUAUCAAGGAUUCUGGAAGAGGGUAUGCAAAGAAGAAUGAUAAUGUUGAGCAAGAAAAAAACAAAUGAGAAUGCAAAUUAAACUUUAAAUAAAGAUAAUAAUAACACACACGUGUAUGUAAAACAAAACUAUGUUGAAUGUGAAGAAAAAACAAAUGAGAAUGCAAAUUAAACUUUAAAUAAAGAUAAUAAUAACACACACGUGUAUGUGAAACAAAACUAUGUUGAAUGUGAAAAAAAAACAAAUGAGAAUGCAAAUUAAACUUUAAAUAAAGAUAAUAAUAACA